AACAAACGCUGGCGGCGUGCCUAACACAUGCAAGUCGUACGAGAAAGUCGGCUUCGGCCGAUGAGUACAGUGGCGCACGGGUGAGUAGCGCGUGGGUAAUCUGCCCCCCGGUCAGGAAUAACCCGCCGAAAGGCGGGCUAAUACCCGACUAACACUGACGCUCCGCGGAGCGUCUUUCAAAGAAGGCCUCUGUUUACAAGCUUUCGCCGGAGGAUGAGCCCGCGUACCAUUAGCUAGUUGGCAGGGUAAUGGCCUACCAAGGCUACGAUGGUUAGCUGGUCUGAGAGGAUGAUCAGCCACACUGGAACUGAGACACGGUCCAGACUCCUACGGGAGGCAGCAGUAGGGAAUAUUGGACAAUGGGCGCAAGCCUGAUCCAGCCAUGCCGCGUGAGUGAAGAAGGCCCUCGGGUUGUAAAGCUCUUUUGUUGGGGAAGAAAAGCAGUUGGUUAAAUACCCGAUUGUUCUGACGGUACCCAAAGAAUAAGCACCGGCUAACUUCGUGCCAGCA
This 510-nucleotide ribosomal RNA is filed under the name uncultured bacterium. RNAcentral's name for it is "bacterial SSU rRNA". It matches the Rfam family "Bacterial small subunit ribosomal RNA", at positions 29 to 513 of the family's 1533-position model. The record is from RNAcentral.